This 253-nucleotide ribosomal RNA is filed under the name uncultured bacterium. RNAcentral's name for it is "partial 16S ribosomal RNA". It matches the Rfam family "Bacterial small subunit ribosomal RNA", at positions 524 to 776 of the family's 1533-position model. The record is from RNAcentral.
UACAGAGGGGGCGAGCGUUGUUCGGAAUUACUGGGCGUAAAGGGCGCGUAGGCGGCCUAUUAAGUCAUACGUGAAAUCCCUCGGCUCAACCGGGGAACUGCGUGUGAUACUGAUUGGCUUGAAUUCGGGAGAGGGAUGCGGAAUUCCAGGUGUAGCGGUGAAAUGCGUAGAUAUCUGGAGGAACACCGGUGGCGAAGGCGGCAUCCUGGACCGAUAUUGACGCUGAUGCGCGAAAGCCAGGGGAGCAAACGGG